UCUUUUGGUUUUGAAUCGAAUAUUGCUGAUGACUGUAUAUACCAUGAGUUCAGUGGGAGUAUUAUGUAUUUCUCCAAGAAAGUUUGUUCUGAAGUUAAAAUAAUUUCGGUACCUAAGGAUAAUUGGUGGGUAGGUUAUGCUGCUCACAAAAGGAUAUCUAUGCAGGGUUGCCUGAACUGCCGAAAACCAAAAGAUGGUGAAAGAUAC
This 207-nucleotide long non-coding RNA is filed under the name Nicotiana benthamiana. RNAcentral describes it as "long non-coding RNA (NBEN_LNC000400)". Lineage: Eukaryota; Viridiplantae; Streptophyta; Magnoliopsida; Solanales; Solanaceae. The record is from RNAcentral.